CCCUUAGAUGUUCUGGGCCGCACGCGUGCUACACUGAGUGGAUCAGCGGGUCAGGUUGCGCGAAAGUGUUUCCUAAUCUUGAAAUCCGCUCGUGAUGGGGAUUGACGGUUGCAAUUUUCCGUCAUGAACGAGGAAUACCUUGUAAGCGCGGGUCAUCAUCCCGCGCUGAAUACGUCCCUGCCCUUUGUACACACCGCCCGUCGCUCCUACCGAUUGAGUGGUCCGGUGAGGCUUUGGGAUCUGAGCGGAAAGAGCGUUUCGCUGUUUCUGCUCGGAAAACUCAGUCGAACCUUCUCAUUUAGAGGAAGGAGAAGUCGUAACA
This 322-nucleotide ribosomal RNA is filed under the name uncultured eukaryote. Its description in RNAcentral is "partial 18S ribosomal RNA". It matches the Rfam family "Eukaryotic small subunit ribosomal RNA", at positions 1470 to 1796 of the family's 1831-position model. The record is from RNAcentral.